UACGGAGGAUGCAAGCGUUAUCCGGAUUUAUUGGGUUUAAAGGGUGCGUAGGCUGUGCGGAAAGUCAGAGGUGAAAGCCCGGGGCUCAACUCCGGAACUGCCUUUGAUACUUCCGUGCUGGAAUACGGAUGCCGUGGGAGGAAUGAGUAGUGUAGCGGUGAAAUGCAUAGAUAUUACUCAGAACACCGAUUGCGAAGGCAUCUCACGAAUCCGUUAUUGACGCUGAGGCACGAAAGCGUGGGGAU
This 245-nucleotide ribosomal RNA is filed under the name uncultured Bacteroidales bacterium. Its description in RNAcentral is "partial 16S ribosomal RNA". It matches the Rfam family "Bacterial small subunit ribosomal RNA", at positions 524 to 768 of the family's 1533-position model. The record is from RNAcentral. Lineage: Bacteria; Pseudomonadati; Bacteroidota; Bacteroidia; Bacteroidales.